RNAcentral lists this ribosomal RNA (253 nucleotides) under uncultured bacterium. RNAcentral describes it as "partial 16S ribosomal RNA". It matches the Rfam family "Bacterial small subunit ribosomal RNA", at positions 524 to 776 of the family's 1533-position model. The record is from RNAcentral.
UACGGAGGGGGCUAGCGUUGUUCGGAAUUACUGGGCGUAAAGCGCACGUAGGCGGCUUUGUAAGUUAGAGGUGAAAGCCCGGGGCUCAACUCCGGAAUUGCCUUUGAGACUGCAUCGCUAGAAUUGUGGAGAGGUAAGUGGAAUUCCGAGUGUAGAGGUGAAAUUCGUAGAUAUUCGGAAGAACACCAGUGGCGAAGGCGACUUACUGGACAGAUAUUGACGCUGAGGUGCGAAAGCGUGGGGAGCAAACAGG